UGGGUUGCCAAAGUUCCCUUCCCGGAUAAAACACAGCCUCUCAGAAAACAAAGCAUUCAUUACACAUGAAUGAAGACUUUGAGAGCUUUUGAGAAGUAACUCCAGGUUUGUUAUGACUGCAGUUUUAUGUCAUUGUAUGUUUUUAAAAGGAUGGCCAAGGGUUUGUUAUAUUAAAAUCUAAUGGCAGCAGAGGAUGCUAUUACUUUUAGCAAUUUAGCAGCAUACUUAUCAACUAUACUUGUUAGCAAUUGUGGUUUCGACUUGGUAUUUCUUGCAUCAAAGUUUGAAUAUUUUUAGAAGGAUGAUGUAUACAUCAAGUAAUUUGUUCUAGAAAAUGUAUUGUGCAAUCUCUCUUUUUCUACUACUUUGCCACCAUUUCUUCUGUCCUGCAUGCAGUUCUUAUCUUUUUGUUGUAAUAACGAAGCUGAGCAUUCAAAAAGGCAAUCCUCUAUCAGGGUAAAUUUCAGCAAGUUUUCAAUUAUAGUUGCCUAUUUUGAGAGACAACCACCAAAUGCAUUAUUCAGAGCCUCCCAAACUUGAGAAGAAAAGAGAAGCUGUAAUUAUUUGUUCAUUAGAAGGGUUAAAUCUCUUCCAACCCUAAUAGUAAUGGCAAGAUUCACAAUUUGAAUUGUCCUUUUCCAUUCUCAAUAAAAAUCAUUUUUAUUUAUGAUACUAACACCGUUAUUAACGGUGUUACUAGUCUGUUAAACGGUGUUAC
RNAcentral lists this long non-coding RNA (718 nucleotides) under Carica papaya (papaya). Its description in RNAcentral is "long non-coding RNA (CPAP_LNC002664)". Lineage: Eukaryota; Viridiplantae; Streptophyta; Magnoliopsida; Brassicales; Caricaceae. The record is from RNAcentral.